Molecule: non-coding RNA, 21 nt
Filed under: Rattus norvegicus (Norway rat)
Lineage: Eukaryota; Metazoa; Chordata; Mammalia; Rodentia; Muridae
Source: RNAcentral
AUGAUUGAUCCCGCCUAGGCC